RNAcentral lists this ribosomal RNA (465 nucleotides) under uncultured bacterium. RNAcentral describes it as "partial 16S ribosomal RNA". It matches the Rfam family "Bacterial small subunit ribosomal RNA", at positions 338 to 795 of the family's 1533-position model. The record is from RNAcentral.
CCUACGGGGGGCAGCAGUAGGGAAUCUUCCACAAUGGGCGAAAGCCUGAUGGAGCAACGCCGCGUGGGUGAAGAAGGUCUUCGGAUCGUAAAACCCUGUUGUUAGAGAAGAAAGUGCGUGAGAGUAACUGUUCACGUUUCGACGGUAUCUAACCAGAAAGCCACGGCUAACUACGUGCCAGCAGCCGCGGUAAUACGUAGGUGGCAAGCGUUAACCGGAUUUAUUGGGCGUAAAGGGAACGCAGGCGGUCUUUUAAGUCUGAUGUGAAAGCCUUCGGCUUAACCGGGGUAGUGCAUUGGAAACUGGGAGACUGGAGUGCAGAAGAGGAGAGUGGAACUCCAUGUGUAGCGGUGAAAUGCGUAGAUAUAUGGAAGAACACCAGUGGCGAAGGCGGCUCUCUGGUCUGUAACUGACGCUGAGGUUCGAAAGCGUGGGUAGCAAACAGGAUUAGAUACCCCAGUAGUC